RNAcentral lists this ribosomal RNA (1282 nucleotides) under Vibrio parahaemolyticus. RNAcentral describes it as "bacterial LSU rRNA". It matches the Rfam family "Bacterial large subunit ribosomal RNA", at positions 1 to 1330 of the family's 2925-position model. The record is from RNAcentral. Lineage: Bacteria; Pseudomonadati; Pseudomonadota; Gammaproteobacteria; Vibrionales; Vibrionaceae.
GUUGUAUGGUUAAGUGACUAAGCGUACACGGUGGAUGCCUUGGCAGUCAGAGGCGAUGAAAGACGUAGUAACUUGCGAUAAGCCCAGAUUAGGUAGUAACAACCAUUUGAGUCUGGGAUUUCUGAAUGGGGAAACCCACGUGCAUAAGCACGUAUCCUUACCUGAAUACAUAGGGUAAGGAGGCGAACCGGGGGAACUGAAACAUCUAAGUACCCCGAGGAAAAGAAAUCAACCGAGAUUCCGAAAGUAGCGGCGAGCGAAAUUGGACUAGCCCUUAAGCUUUACACGCGUUAGACGAACGGUCUGGAAAGUCCGACGAUACAGGGUGAUAGUCCCGUAGUUGACGACGUGUGUUCAGUGAAAUCGAGUAGGGCGGGACACGUGAUAUCCUGUCUGAAUAUGGGGGGACCAUCCUCCAAGGCUAAAUACUACUGACUGACCGAUAGUGAACCAGUACCGUGAGGGAAAGGCGAAAAGAACCCCUGUGAGGGGAGUGAAAUAGAACCUGAAACCGUGUACGUACAAGCAGUAGGAGCAGGCUUUGUCCUGUGACUGCGUACCUUUUGUAUAAUGGGUCAGCGACUUAUAUUCAGUGGCAAGGUUAACCAUCUAGGGGAGCCGUAGGGAAACCGAGUCUUAACUGGGCGUUCAGUCUCUGGAUAUAGACCCGAAACCAGGUGAUCUAGCCAUGGGCAGGUUGAAGGUUGAGUAACAUCAACUGGAGGACCGAACCGACUAAUGUUGAAAAAUUAGCGGAUGACUUGUGGCUAGGGGUGAAAGGCCAAUCAAACCUGGAGAUAGCUGGUUCUCCCCGAAAGCUAUUUAGGUAGCGCCUCGGACGAAUACUACUGGGGGUAGAGCACUGUUAAGGCUAGGGGGUCAUCCCGACUUACCAACCCUUUGCAAACUCCGAAUACCAGUAAGUACUAUCCGGGAGACACACGGCGGGUGCUAACGUCCGUCGUGGAGAGGGAAACAACCCAGACCGCCAGCUAAGGUCCCAAAUUACUACUAAGUGGGAAACGAUGUGGGAAGGCUCAGACAGCCAGGAUGUUGGCUUAGAAGCAGCCAUCAUUUAAAGAAAGCGUAAUAGCUCACUGGUCGAGUCGGCCUGCGCGGAAGAUGUAACGGGGCUAAGUAGUAAACCGAAGCUGCGGCAAUAUACUUUUGUAUAUUGGGUAGGGGAGCGUUCUGUAAGCGGUUGAAGGUGUGUGGUAACGCAUGCUGGACGUAUCAGAAGUGCGAAUGCUGACAUGAGUAACGAUAAAGGGGGUGAAAAACC